GGGGAUGUUAGGGCUUUGACAGACAAUGUGAGCAACUGAUGGCAUACUGCAGGUUCGUCUGCAUUAAUAACGAAAAUUAAAUGUAAACGCAAACAAAAACGUUUCUUACGCAAGCCCACGCACUGCGUUCGCUUAUGCGUACUAAUCUGAUUUAAGUUUUAUUAAAUCUGCCACCAACAAGUCGUUUGGCAAUCGGGGCUUAUUGAAUGGUAUCAACCGACCGAAAAGCUCAACUUUUGGCUUGUUUGGGGCCUUGGGUUGUAAUUACCAAACUUUGCACUCAACACCUGUCAUUUGGUUAGUCGAUUAGCAAGAUUUAUAAAAUGACUAAGUAUGUAGAUGUCAGUUGGGCAGUUGCUUGGACAUGGGUUCGACUCCCAUCAUCUCCACCA
This 392-nucleotide small RNA is filed under the name Christensenellales. RNAcentral's name for it is "RUG666 sp900321185 Standard tmRNA". It matches the Rfam family "transfer-messenger RNA". Rfam says of the family: Bacterial tmRNA, also known as 10Sa RNA or SsrA, is named for its dual tRNA and mRNA-like properties. Its role is to liberate the mRNA from a stalled ribosome. The record is from RNAcentral. RNAcentral also lists the same sequence under 1 other name. Lineage: Bacteria; Bacillati; Bacillota; Clostridia.